AGGUCCACAGGCAGCCUAUUGCCCAAAGACUCUGCUCUUCCCUGCAAGUCUGUGCCAAGGAGGGACAGAGCCAGCUGGAGGCGUGGCCGACCAGGCCCCUCCAAGAGGUCAUCAACCGGACCUUCUAAUACUGGCAAGGUGUGCCCCAGCAGCUGGUGCCUCAAGAAGAGACUGGAAGAGCUGGAGGAGGGAGGCUGGACCUGUCAGCUAUAGGGAGCCCAGUGACCAAGGUGAACUGGGAGCAACACUGAAGUGGUUUCAGAGGUCCUAAACCAAGAGAUGACCAACCCCCG
Molecule: long non-coding RNA, 293 nt
Organism: Eubalaena glacialis (North Atlantic right whale)
Lineage: Eukaryota; Metazoa; Chordata; Mammalia; Artiodactyla; Balaenidae
Exons: 3
Source: RefSeq, a predicted model, not a curated record